Molecule: long non-coding RNA, 3649 nt
Organism: Hemicordylus capensis (graceful crag lizard)
Lineage: Eukaryota; Metazoa; Chordata; Lepidosauria; Squamata; Cordylidae
Exons: 2
Source: RefSeq, a predicted model, not a curated record
CCCCUCCCCCUUCGCGCUAUGUGUAUGUAUACGGAGGAGGAGAGAGAGCGCGCGCGAGAGAGAGAGGUCCUGUAAGCUAGCAGGCACGCGCACGGACGCGCGCCACCCCAGCUCGCCUGUGCUCGCGACUAAUCUUUUAGCCCGGCUGCCAUUACCGCCGAGAGACCUCACACGGCUGUGACGUCUGCGAUAAUGCCCAGAAAGGGCGGGGAAGGGCUGACCGGAGGAGGAGGGAAAAAUAGUCCCUCUACAGCAAACGAGGAUUUGCGCUAGAAGCGAACGGACUCUUGUGUAAACCCCCCCCCCCCAUGGUCGCUCGUGUUUGUUUACAUCCUAUUAACAUGUUGUGCUCACUCGACCGCGAGGAUGUGGUUCCACGUUCGCUAAGACAGCCCAGCGCGGAAGUUUAUGCGGAGAUUUCAGUUUGAGUAGUUGGUUUCUUUUUGAAGAAGCGUCUCCGAGGAAGGGACCAAAGAGAGUAGUGAAGCGGCUUUCAGUCUUCCGUUCUGCCUGCCUUAGAGACGGAGAGUUAAAUCGCUGCACAGCUUUCUUCCAAAGGACGAUGCGAAUUCAUGCGGGUUUACUUUCUUUGCACGCGGCAGCAGUCUCCUCACCCUCGUUCUUAGCGGUCAUAGUAGUUUGCAUGGUCUGUUUUGACUUGCAGCCAGAAGCUGGUUUACGCGGAAUUAAGCCCCGCUGUGUUAAAUGGGACUUAACUCCCAGAAGUCAAGAUGGACAAAGGGAAACCAGAAUGGUAUACUCUCAUUUGAUUGUGCUCCAGCUGCUCCAAGCCUCAGCCAUGUAUUGUCAAGUGCUAGAAUGCACAGAUAUGAUACCUAUUGGCAAUGUCACACAAUUUCCAUACAUUUUAUAAUUUAUUCAAUUUCUAUAUUGCCUUUCAUAAGACAUCUCAAGGCUGUAUACAUCAUGUAUAUCCUAUGUUUAUAAUAUGGAUAUUAGACUGCAGAGACAGCUCUCUCAUUCAUAUUAUACUGGUUUCCUAUUGCUGUUUCUCUUAAAUUUAUUGUUUGUAGUUUGCACGUUUAUUGAUUUUAUUGCAUUAUUUGUAUGCUGCUUUGGAUGCUGAAAAGUGGAAUUGCUGGAUAGAAAUAUUUUAAAUAAAUAAAAACAAUAUCAUUGCAGCAUAAUCACAAUUUUAACUUCAGUGUGACGCUCAAGCAAUCUUCCAAAUCCAUCUCCAUUACUCUAAUGGUACCCCAAAAACUGAGAUACUGAAUCAGACAAACUUAACAAUAGCCUGUAUAUGAUUCCAAUUGGACCUUUUGGAUUUUCGAUGCUUAAGCAGUUCAAUAAUAUUUUUUCCUUAACUCCCUGUAUUUCAUUACUGACAUGUCUCAGUUGCAAAGAUAGAGAUAGUGUUUGACAUCUCCAGGUAGGAUUAGGAAAGAACUUCAGAAACUCUGUGUUGCCACGGCAGUGUUCCUCCCUGCUCCCUAACAAAAAGUAGGAGCAAAAAAAGAAGUUCCUCUCUCCAGACAGUGGCUGACAUCUCUACUGCCAAAGGAUGCAUGCUUCAAGUAAUUCUAGGAUCACAGUGAAAGUUUGUAUGCUGCUCUGUUGUAUUCUGAAUUAUGAGAGCAAUUGCACAAAUGCAAGAGCAUUAAUUUCAGAGCAUAUUCCAAAAUAUUACCAUAUUUUAUUAUAAAUGGUGUUUUUGGAGACAUACUUUUAUGUAUUUAAUUUCCAUGGACCCCUGGCUAAGAACACUGUUAUGUAUGGUGAUGUGCAUUUAGUGUUAAUUAAUACAAUAACUAAAACUAUUGGGGGGGGUCAUUACAUUAACUAAAACGAUGGAUGGCAAACAGGAUUUAGUUUUAGAAUUGCUUCACUGUUGCCAGCAAUGAGGCUAGGAUAGAAGGUUAUUUAGGAAGUUAAGCUGCAGGAGGAGAGCAAGAAUCAUGAUGACUGGCAGCCCUCCUGCCCAUUUGGCUUGCAAACAUACGAAGCAGCACUGUGACACACACAGAAACCUGACCAUGAUGCUUGCUUUGAUGGUGCCACAACUUGGCAAUGCAGCCAGGGGCAAUAAGAAGGGGUCAUCUGAAAACUAGUGCCUAGAUUUUGCUCCUUCAGUGCUUACUUCCCAAACCACAUCCCAGUUCCAAACUCAAUCAGGUUUACAUUUGGUUUCUAUAUUUCAUUCCAUCCUUCUUAGUUUUACCUAGGUAUUUGUUUUUAUUGCAUUUUUGCAAUUGAGAGGGUGGUGGCCUCCCAGCUCCAGACAGUCUUGGAUGAAACUGAUUAUCUUGACCUAUUUCAAACUGGCUUUCAGGCUGGCUAUGGGGUAGAGACUGCCUUGGUCGACAUGAUGGAUGAUCUCCAAUUGGGAAUAGACAGAGGAAGUAUGACGCUGUUGGUCCUUUUGGACCUCUCGGUGGCUUUCGAUACUAUCGACCAUAGUAUCCUUCUGGAGCGUCUGAGGGGGUUGGGAGUUGGAGGCACUGCUCUGCAGUGGUUCCGCUCCUACCUCUCGGGCAGGUUCCAGAUGGUGUCCCUUGGAGACUGCUGUUCUUCAAAAUCUGAACUCUUGUAUGGUGUGCCUCAGGGCUCCAUAUUGUCUCUGAUGUUGUUUAACAUCUACAUGAAACCCCUGGGAGAGAUCAUCAAGAGAUUUGGUGCAGGGUGUCAGUAUGGUGAUCAGUAUGCUGAUGACACCCCAAUCUAUUUCUCCAUGUCAGCAUCAUCAGGAGAGGGCAUAACCUCCCUAAAUGCCUGCCUGGAGUCGGUGAUGGACUGGAUAAGGGAUAACAAACAGACUGAAUCCAGAUAAGAUAGAGAUACUCAUUUUGUGGGGUCGGAACUUGAGAGACUAUUUUGAUCUGCCUGUUCUGGAUGGGGUCACACUUCCCCAGAAGGAACCGGUAUGCAGUCUAGGAUCCAAGCCUCUCCCGGGUUGAGGCAGUGGCCAGAAGUGCCUUCUAUCAGCUUCAGCAGAUAUGUCAGCUGUGUCCAUUUCUUAAGGUGAAUGACCACAAAAUAGUGGUACAUCUGCUGGUAACCUCCAGACUGGAUUACUGCAAUGCGCUCUAUGUGGGCUGCCCUUGUAUGUAGUCCAGAAACUACAGUUGGUUCAGAAUGCAACAGCCAGGUUGGUCUCUGGGUCAUCUCGGAGAGACCAUAUAACUCCUGUAUUGAAGGAGCUACACUGGCUGCCGAUACGUUUCUGGGCAAAAUACAAAGUGCUGGUUAUAACCUAUAAAGUCCUAAACAGUUUGGGCCCUGGGUAUUUAAGAGAACGCCUUCUUCGUCAUGAACCCCAACGCCCACUGAGAUCCGCUGAAGAGGUUCGUCUGCAGUUGCCACCAGCUCGUAUGGUGGCCACUCGGGGACGGGCCUUUUCCGCUGCUGCCCCGAGGCUUUGGAAUGCGCUCCCUAGUGAAAUGAGAGCCUCCCCAUCUCUGACAGCUUUUAAAAAGUCUUUAAAGUUGCAUCUGUUCACCCAGGUUUUUAAUUAAUAUUGUUUUAAUGGUUUUAAUGCUGUUUCAAAAUAUUCUUUUAAAAUUUUAAAAUUGUAAUGUUUUUAACUUUUCAUUUUUGUUUUAACUAAUGUUUUAAUUUGUUUUAAUUUUGUUGUAAACUGCCCAGAGACGUAAGUUUUAGGCAGUAUAAAAAUGUUAAUAUAAAUAUA